UGCAAUGACACCCCAGGAAAACUCUGCACUUGCAGCUCAGGAAGCCGAGCAUCCUUGUUCGUGGUGCACAUUGACGCAGGAGCUUCUGUGAUGCUCAGGGCAACAGAGAGUCGGUGAUGUGCGCUGUCGGUCAGAGCUGAGGAGGCAACUUGGCUAAAGUGACAUUAGGAGAGGGUGUAGACAGUGGAAUCUGCUUAAGGGAGGACAUAGGACAACACCUCUCUGAGACAGCUGAGUGUCUUAUCUAGAAGAGUUCAUCAGAUUGAGUUAAUUCACCGUCAUUAAGUAGAUGACCUAAUCCUGUCCAGGACAGCACACUUCAGGGGCUCCCCCUGAGCUAUGGUACUGUGACAGCCCACUCCUUCAGGUGGGGUGACCUGUGCAGACCCCUGGGCCUGGAGUCUGUCAUCAUUUCCCGGAUGGUUCUGGUCAUCCCUCCCCACCAAACUAAUUCCUACUUGCUUAGGGCCACCAGGACGUCCUGGCAUCCUUCAUUUAGUUCUUCUGACCAUGGGAACCAUUACAGCAGGUUUCCCAGCUGAGUGCUGGCCCUUGUGAGGCUGCACUCCGAUACCUUCCUGGGGUGCCUCCCCCUCUUUGCAUAUGUGCUGUCUGGGAUAGUCAGGAUCAGGGACUCUGUCCCCUGGCAAAUGGAAUCAUGUUUUUACAGACCUCCGGAAAACAUUGUGAUGAAUUAAGUAUAAAUGAAUAAAAAAUAUAAUGAUUGGAUUUUCCUGGAAAUACACAUGGGCUAAAAAAGGAAGGGAGGGGAAAAUGUCCACCCAAGAUCCUUAAGAAAGAUUUGGAAUGUGUUGCCAAGAAAUGACAAUCUCUUUUUCCAACAUUCAAAUGUCAUUCAAAUUCUCUGCUGUUGGGGAGGAAAAGUUUUGCUCCACCCUUCAAGGCUCUUCUAGCUGGUCUAAGAAUUGAAUCUUCAUGAGACAGACGAACAGGAGAGCAAAGGUUGAGGGCCCAGCGAUGGAGACCCAUAGGCACGAGGUCCAGAGACAGUCAGGGACAACCAGGCACUUGCCAAAAAACGUCUGAUACUCAGUUGCUCUUCUCCACCCAAAAGUGCAACUUUAUCAAUUCCGUUAACUAAGAUCCAGUCUUUCCUGCCACUUGUGAACUAAAGGGGCACCUGGAGUCUCAUAGCAACAGCCACAGAGCAACGGGAGGCAGCAGUUGCAGGGCCCAGGAGGAGGCUCCCCUGUGGGACGAGGUGCUCUUCCUGGAGUGAAGGUGUGCGUGGUCUCCUGAACUGUGAUUGCUGCAUCACACGGUGCAUUACGAAUUCUUCCAAGGCUCUUGAUUUAUGUUCUGGGUCACGUGGCGGAACGUCCUGAUGUGUGUCCCCGGCAGCGAGACCGAGGACUCUGAGUCCGGCCUGCAGCCGUGCUCUGCCCCAGCGCUGCUGGGGGCUCACACUUGGAUCAGCAAAAAAGAGGGAGACGGGGAGAGGGCGGCCUUCUACUUUUCAUCAUUCUGACUAUUGGCUGGUUUGAACACUGAAAAUGCAUUCACUGGCCUUUUCUUUUUCCAUAAAUUGUAUCUUCCUGACCUUUGACUCUUUUAUAUUGAAUUCAAAUCUUUUUUAUCACUGAUUCGUAAAGCCUCUUUAUAUAAGACUGUUGACCCACGUUUGGCACACUUACGGUACAUUUCCCCCUGGUUUACUAUUUGCAUUUUACGUUUUUAAUAGUAUUUCAUAUUUAUAGGGGCAUAAAUCUACCAAUGUUCUCCCUUUUGCUUUUUUUUCCAUUAUUUUUAUAUUCAGAA
This is a long non-coding RNA of Manis pentadactyla (Chinese pangolin), 1779 nucleotides long. RefSeq lists it as uncharacterized. The record is from RefSeq and is a predicted model, not a curated record. The transcript is spliced from 3 exons. NCBI's taxonomy places the organism in Eukaryota, Metazoa, Chordata, Mammalia, Pholidota, Manidae.